This 501-nucleotide ribosomal RNA is filed under the name uncultured bacterium. RNAcentral's name for it is "partial 16S ribosomal RNA". It matches the Rfam family "Bacterial small subunit ribosomal RNA", at positions 30 to 523 of the family's 1533-position model. The record is from RNAcentral.
AUUGAACGCUGGCGGCAUGCCUUACACAUGCAAGUCGAACGGCAGCACGGGUGCUUGCACCUGGUGGCGAGUGGCGAACGGGUGAGUAAUACAUCGGAACGUACCUUAUCGUGGGGGAUAACGCAGCGAAAGCUGUGCUAAUACCGCAUACGCCCUGCGGGGGAAAGCGGGGGAUCGCAAGACCUCGCGCGAUUAGAGCGGCCGAUGCCUGAUUCGCUUGUUGGUGGGGUAAAAGCCCACCAAGGCGACGAUCAGUAGCUGGUCUGAGAGGACGAUCAGCCACACUGGGACUGAGACACGGCCCAGACUCCUACGGGAGGCAGCAGUGGGGAAUUUUGGACAAUGGGGGCAACCCUGAUCCAGCAAUGCCGCGUGAGUGAAGAAGGCCUUCGGGUUGUAAAGCUCUUUUGUCAGGGAAGAAACACCGGCUCUAACACAGUCUGGGAAUGACGGUACCUGAAGGAUAAGCACCGGCUAACUACGUGCCAGCCGCCGCAGUAA